GGCAGCAUGGCGUAGUGGUUUGAGCACUGGACUAGGACUCUGGGAGACCAGGGUUCGAAUCCCGGCUAGGUCA
Molecule: non-coding RNA, 73 nt
Organism: Phrynosoma platyrhinos (Desert horned lizard)
Lineage: Eukaryota; Metazoa; Chordata; Lepidosauria; Squamata; Phrynosomatidae
Source: the annotation of a GenBank genome assembly